This 65-nucleotide ribosomal RNA is filed under the name Planococcus glaciei CHR43. RNAcentral describes it as "Planomicrobium glaciei CHR43 partial 16S ribosomal RNA". It matches the Rfam family "Bacterial small subunit ribosomal RNA", at positions 1 to 63 of the family's 1533-position model. Lineage: Bacteria; Bacillati; Bacillota; Bacilli; Caryophanales; Caryophanaceae. The record is from RNAcentral.
CUAUAAUGGAGAGUUUGAUCCUGGCUCAGGACGAACGCUGGCGGCGUGCCUAAUACAUGCAAGUC